RNAcentral lists this ribosomal RNA (403 nucleotides) under uncultured bacterium. RNAcentral's name for it is "bacterial SSU rRNA". It matches the Rfam family "Bacterial small subunit ribosomal RNA", at positions 355 to 775 of the family's 1533-position model. The record is from RNAcentral.
UAGGGAAUAUUAGUAAUGGGCGAAAGCCUGAACUAGCAACGCCGCGUGUGCGAAGAAGGCCUUCGGGUUGUAAAGCACUUUUUGAGAGGAUAAGGAAGGACGGUACUCUCAGAAUAAGUCUCGGCUAACUACGUGCCAGCAGCCGCGGUAACACGUAGGAGGCGAACGUUAUCCGGAUUUACUGGGCGUAAAGCGCGUGUAGGUGGUUUGGUAAGUAGGGCGUGAAAGCUCCUGGCUCAACUGGGAGAGGCCGUUCUAAACUGCCGAACUAGAGGAUGGUAGAGGGAGGUGGAAUUCCGGGUGUAGCGGUGGAAUGCGCAGAUAUCCGGAGGAACUCCAGUGUCGAAAGCGGCCUCCUGGACCAUUCCUGACACUCAGACGCGAAAGCUAGGGUAGCAAACGG